Molecule: long non-coding RNA, 424 nt
Filed under: Nicotiana benthamiana
Lineage: Eukaryota; Viridiplantae; Streptophyta; Magnoliopsida; Solanales; Solanaceae
Description: long non-coding RNA (NBEN_LNC015629)
Source: RNAcentral
UGCUCCAAAAUCGCCCUCUCAUUCUGCAGAUAAAGAAUUUUCAGAAAGAACUGCCAAAUUAGGCAUCGCAAUUACAUCAAUUCUGCAGAUAAAGAAUUUUCAGAAAGAACUGCCAAAUUAGGCAUCAGAAUUACAUCUAAGGACCUGGAAUGCUAAGUAACUCCUAUAACCUAUAUUAUCAGGAAAAAGGUAUGCAAGCAAACUGGACACACAAAGGUGGAGAUUACCACCUGAAUAUGCUCAAGCAAGUCAAAUUCCUUUAAAUUGGAUAAAACUAUGCUAGAUAUCCUUAAAAGGAAAUUUCGAGUAUUUUAGACACUCAAGAGUAUCAUCUCCACUUUCCCUUUUGCAAAGCACCACUUGCAAAACAAUGGACUUCUCUGUAAGCCUCUUUUCUUUUCAUAUCCAACAGACAGACAACAAG